Molecule: small nucleolar RNA, 132 nt
Organism: Arvicanthis niloticus (Nile rat)
Lineage: Eukaryota; Metazoa; Chordata; Mammalia; Rodentia; Muridae
Product: small nucleolar RNA SNORA17
Source: RefSeq, a predicted model, not a curated record
GCUGCCCCUACAGGCACUGCAGAUAUGGUUGCUGUGUCACAUGUGUGUCAGCAGGUGGCAGAGAGGAGAAAGGCUAUGUCUACACUCCGUGUUCUGACCUAUGGACAUUUGAAUAGUUAGUAGCCUAACAUU